GAUUGACCUCGGAUCAGGUAGGGAUACCC
RNAcentral lists this ribosomal RNA (29 nucleotides) under Glaucomaria carpinea. RNAcentral describes it as "Lecanora carpinea partial 28S ribosomal RNA". Lineage: Eukaryota; Fungi; Ascomycota; Lecanoromycetes; Lecanorales; Lecanoraceae. The record is from RNAcentral.